This is a small nuclear RNA of Mus pahari (shrew mouse), 105 nucleotides long. The record is from RefSeq and is a predicted model, not a curated record. Lineage: Eukaryota; Metazoa; Chordata; Mammalia; Rodentia; Muridae.
GUGCUCUCUUUGGCAGCAUGUAUAUUAACAAUUGGAAUGACACAGAGAUUACCAUGGCCUUUGCCCAAGAAGGGCACACAAAUUCAAGAAACAAUUCACAUUUAA